AUGUCUGCCUCAGCGUCGGGUU
This 22-nucleotide unclassified non-coding RNA is filed under the name Chlamydomonas reinhardtii. RNAcentral describes it as "small RNA Cre_0786". Lineage: Eukaryota; Viridiplantae; Chlorophyta; Chlorophyceae; Chlamydomonadales; Chlamydomonadaceae. The record is from RNAcentral.